Molecule: ribosomal RNA, 301 nt
Filed under: uncultured bacterium
Lineage: Bacteria
Description: partial 16S ribosomal RNA
Rfam family: Bacterial small subunit ribosomal RNA
Source: RNAcentral
CAGUCGCCGCGGGAAUACGUAGGGUGCAAGCGUUAAUCGGAAUUACUGGGCGUAAAGCGUGCGCAGGCGGUUAUAUAAGACAGAUGUGAAAUCCCCGGGCUCAACCUGGGAACUGCAUUUGUUACUGUAUAGCUAGAGUACGGCAGAGGGUGAUAGAAUUCCGCGUGUAGCAGUGAAAUGCGUAGAUAUGCGGAGGAACACCGAUGGCGAAGGCGGCCACCUGGACAAAGACUGACGCUCAGGUGCGAAAGCGUGGGGAGCAAACAGGAUUAGAUACCCGAGUAGUCCCUGUCUCUUAUAC